This is a long non-coding RNA of Daktulosphaira vitifoliae (grape phylloxera), 1717 nucleotides long. RefSeq lists it as uncharacterized. The record is from RefSeq and is a predicted model, not a curated record. Lineage: Eukaryota; Metazoa; Arthropoda; Insecta; Hemiptera; Phylloxeridae. The transcript has 5 exons.
AACACUCUGUAUGUCAAUAUAUAAUAUUAGAACUGUUUUAUUUAAACACUAUUAUUAAUUGAGAUACUAACUGAACUAGUGUUAAAUCAAAAUGUUUUGAUUUUAUUAGACGGAAUGUUGUUAUAAAAUAACUUUUAGUAAUUAAGUUAAAAUAAUUUAACCAUGUUAACUUUGCCAUUGUUAUAAGUUAUGUUGAACAUUUAAUGAAUAUUAGUUAAGCAUUAGAAAUAUUUAGUUCUAAUACAAUCAUUGUUAUAUCAAAACGCUUGUUGAUAUUCCAAUUAAAAUAUUACAAAAGGUUAUUUUUAGAAGGUCGAAUAAGCGAUAAUCACUGAUAAUAAAUAUUCACCUGACAAAACAUCACCGUAAACAUAAUAUUACAUAUUUUCUUACCUAGAAUUUUAAAUUAAUUUAAAUUUAAAAUCAUGAUUUCCUAUUUUGUUUGCUUUGUUAAUUUGGGACGUAAUCAUAUAAGUUUAAGUAUUAUAAUUUUUAAAAUAUGGUAAUACAGUAGUUUCACUUCAGUCAUGAAAAUAAAUACUAACUUUAUUAAGAUUCUUAUAUAUCUAUAAUUUGUACAUUUUUUAAAUUAUAGUAUUCAACUAUUGUUUUUAGUUGUUUUGGCUGUUACACGUUUAUACUAAAUACUAAUAGAUGAUUUUUUAAAUAAUUAUAGUUAUUUAAUUAUAAUUAAUUUGGAUGGAUUUAUCAAUGUAGAGAGUGUUUUAAAUAGUAAUGAUAUUGUAAAUGUGCAAACUAAUUCAAAUAAAUUUUCCUCAUUUUCAUCUCUAACUGAAUCAAAUUCCAAGUAUGGAACAUAUAAACCAAUAGAAUGGACUUUGUAGUCUAUUAUGAGCUUGCUGCAUUCAACUAAUGACGGUCGUUUUAUUUUGACUGACUCAAAAGUAAAUUAUAAAAAUUUAUUUGUUUAUGCUCAAAAUACACUUACGAGACUUUUAAUAAAUUAUUUCUUUAAAGACAAAGCUUGGAAUAGUGUACCAUCGUGUGGUGAGCGAGGCGUGGGGAGGGGUGAAUGCGUAUAACAGUCUAGUCUAGACAACGGAAUAUGCGAUAACGCGUGGCGUUUGAAGAGUUACAAACAUACAUACAUACAUACAUACAUACAUACAGAUACUAGAACAAGCAACACAUUGAAAACUACUGAUUCCAUAUCUAGUAUUAACUAAAACUCAAAUGAAAACAAACAAAAAAUCUGGGAAAUCAUCGUUAGUUGAAUGUACUUCAGAUUUUGUUAUAAAUUUUUCAAAUUUAAAUGAUUCAGAAUUCAAAAUAAUUUACCUGACUCAACUCCAACUAUUAAAUAAAUUUUGGGUAAUGGUAAAAUGUAUGAGACUCUUAAAUAUAUUUUAUAGUUGUAUUUUUAAAAAAUUAUAACUUGUUUAUUAAUAAUAUACAGUUUGUCAUUAACAUAGUUUUAUUGUAAUUAAUUUGUGAAUGUAUUUGUACUUACAAUUUAAAGAAAGUAAAUGAUUCCAUUAUGUUAUGUCAUAAUCUAUAUAUUUUAAAAUAUCUUUACUAUCCUAAUCCAACUUAUUAUUAUCUAAUAAAGUUUCCAUUUCUAUUUUAACUAAAUGGAUAUUUCUAUAUUAGUAUUUCUAUGUAAAAUUGAGUUUAUGGAUAUUUGAUCAUUUUGUCUUUGAUACCAUUCAGAAUUAAACAAAAUAAGUAUGUGUUAAGUGUUGAUAAUGGUAACAUU